UACGUAGGUGGCAAGCGUUGUCCGGAUUUAUUGGGUUUAAAGGGUGCGUAGGCGGCUCUGUAAGUCAGUUGUGAAAUACGGCAGCUUAACUGUCGAGGUGCAAUUGAUACUGCAGGGCUUGAGUACUGAUGAGGUAGGCGGAAUGGACGGUGUAGCGGUGAAAUGCUUAGAGAUCGUCCAGAACACCGAUAGCGAAGGCAGCUUACUAAGGAGUAACUGACGCUGAGGCACGAAAGUGUGGGGAUCAAACAGG
RNAcentral lists this ribosomal RNA (253 nucleotides) under uncultured bacterium. RNAcentral's name for it is "partial 16S ribosomal RNA". It matches the Rfam family "Bacterial small subunit ribosomal RNA", at positions 524 to 776 of the family's 1533-position model. The record is from RNAcentral.